UGUCAAGGGCCUCGGUGCCCAAGACAGCAGGGCCUCGACUACGUAGUUCGUAGUCGCGGUGGAUAGGAGCGCUAGGGUUUUUGCCUGGCUGCUCUAUGAUGCGGGAGGAGAAGAUAGAAGGAAAUAACUUUAUUGCUUGUCCCUAAAGGGUGCUAACUAUCUGAUAUAUAAAGGCCCCAUGGGCUAAUAACAAACUAGAAACCUAUACGAAACAAACUAGUCUAGGAACUAAUGUGCCCGGAUCAGGACUCCUGUCCAGCCUGCGCCUUGCCUGAUGCGGCCGUCGGCUGCUCCUGGCCGCGCGGCCCACGUCUGUAAGACGUGCCCCACAUGACAUCUCUCCCCCCCUCGAUGAGCAGCUCGUCCUCGAGCUGAAAAGCGGGGUAGCGCUCGACGAAACUGUCAAGAUCCUCCCAUGUAGCUGACGAAGCUGCUUCACCCUUCCAGUGGACGAGUAGCUGGCGAACGCCGCGUGCUAGGCGCGCACGAGUCACGCGCUCUGGUUCUGGAACAGCCGCCCCGUUGUGGAUCGAAGGCAAUCCCGGCGGUGUAGUUGGAGGAAUGCCGAAGAACUUCUUGAGGAGGCCCACGUGGAACACGUCAUGGAGGCGCGAGCGUGCCGGAAGCUCAAGACGGUAUGCCACGUCGUUGAUCACUUCUGAAAUGCGGUACGGCCCAUAGAAUCGUGGCUUGAGCUUGCCCCUGGUUGGCAAGUUGAGAGAGGACGCGGCGCGCUGUCGAAGGCGAAGCCAAACCCAAUCGCCCACCUCAUGCCGAAUGUCCCGAUGAUGUCUGUCGUAGUAGGACUUAUAGACCGCCUGUGCCUGUUGUAGACGAUAGCGGACGUCCUCGAUAAGUUCGUCGCGCUCAGCCAUGCUCCUGGCCACUGCAGCUACCCUUGUGUCGCCGGGCUCGUAAGAGCGAAUAGUGGGAGGGUCACGGCCAUACACAAGCUUGAACGGAGUCUCUUGGGUUGUUGUCUGGUAGGCGGUGUUGUAUAUGUACUCAGCCCAGGGAAGCCACCGGAGCCACUGCUUGGGACGAUCCCCGGUAAGACACCGUAAAUACAUCACAAUGAUCUUGUUAGCAGCCUCCGUUUGACCAUCCGACUGCGGGUGAAAUGCUGACGUCAUGUGCAGCUUUGUCCCCGUGAGGCGCAUGAGCUCUCGCCAAAAAGCGGAGGUGAAGACGGGGUCGCGGUCAGAGACCAUGGACUGCGGCACGCCAUGGAGACGAACAACCUCAGCGAAAAACACCUGUGCCACUGACUCUGCCGUGUAUGGGUGGGCUAACGCCACAAAAUGGCAAUACUUGCUGAAGCGAUCCACCACGGUGAGGAUGACAGACUUCCCGCCUACUCGAGGAAGCGCUUCCACGAAGUCGAUGCCGAUGUCAGUCCACACGCCCGUGGGCACCGGCAGCGGUAGUAGCAGCCCAGCGGGGUGCAAGUGCUCGGACUUGUACCGCUGGCAAGUACCGCAAUUGCGGACGUACUCCUGCACCGUCUUGCGAAGGUUAGGUGCGUGGAAAUCGCGGCGGAGACGAUGCAAUGUGCGCAGGACGCCUUCAUGCCCAUCAUCGUGCACGGCACUGAGAAUCUCCUGGAGUAGCGGGGAUGACGGCGGAAUGUAGAGGCGGCCGUUGAAAGUAACGAGGCCGUCGGAGAGCGCCCAAGGCUGUUGCCGCGCGCCUGCCGUGAUAUCCUCCCGCAGUGUGACGAGCGCCGGAUCAGUGGACGUCGCUUGCCGGAGGCGAUUGAUGAAGUCGAAACGAGGCCCCGAGACCGCCAUGAUCGUCGUCUCCUCCGUGUCGCGGCGGGAAAGUGCAUCCGCCACCGUGUUGGUACUACCUGCCUUGUACUCCACCGUAAAGUCGAAUCCCAGGAGUUUGCCAACCCAAUGAUGCUGCGGGAUGGUGGCCAAACGCUGGUCAAGCAGAAAUUUGAGGCUGUAAUGAUCCGUUUUUACCACAAACUGGUGCCCCCAUAGGUACGGCCUCCAGUGGCGAAUCGCGAGCACCAGGCCGAUGAGUUCCCGUUCAUACGCUGCCAGGGAACGGUGACGUGGCGCGGCUGGCCGGCUAAAGAAAGCCACCGGGUGGUGGUCCUGAAGAAGGACGGCCCCGAAACCGUACGUCGAUGCGUCACACUCGACGAUGAACGGCCGUGUAAAAUCCGGUAACGCGAGGACGGGAGCCGUGGUGAUUGCCGUCUUGAGGGUGUUAAAAGCUGCUGCCGCCUCCGGCGACCAAGAGAAACCAUCCUUGCGAAGGAGGGCCGUCAGGGGCGCGGCAACCACGCCAAAGUCCUUGACAAACUUGCGGUAGUACCCCGCAAGGCCGAGAAAGCCCCGAACCGCGCGCGCCGAGCGUGGUUGCGGCCAGUCCGCCACUGCCUGCACCUUUUCCGGAUCCAUGGCCACGCCUGCAGCGGAGAUGGUGUGACCCAGGUAUGCGAUUGAUUCAACGGCGAACGCGCAUUUGGAGCGCUUGACGAAGAGCCGGUGCUGGUGCAGGACCGUGAAGACGGUGCGCACAUGUCGGAGAUGGUCAGCCCAUGUCUCGCUGAAAAUGAGGAUGUCGUCAAAGAAGACGAGAACAAAACGGCGCAGGUAUGGCCGCAGCAGAUCAUUCAUGAGGGCCUGGAACGUGGCCGGCGCGUUGCAGAGUCCGAACGGCAUCACCAGAAACUCGUAGAGGCCGUCAUGAGUACGGAAAGCUGUCUUCGGGAUGUCCUCCGCACGCAUCCGCACCUGGUGGUAGCCGGAACGUAAAUCGAGCUUGGUGAAGAAACGAGCGUGCCGUAGCUCGUCGAGGAGUUCGUCCACCACCGGAAUCGGGAACGCAUUCUUGACAGUAAUGGCGUUCAGGGCGCGAUAAUCGAUGCAGAAGCGCCAGGACCCGUCGGCCUUGCGGACCAGCAGUACCGGGGACGAGAAUGCGGAACAACUCGCACGGAUGAUACCUUGGGCGAGCAUGGCGGCGCACUGACGCUCCAGCUCGUCCUUGUGCGCGGCCGGGUAUCGAUACGGACGGACGGCCACCGGGGCGGAACCAGGUAGCAGGGUGAUGCUGUGAUCGCGGCUGCGGGGCGGUGGCACGCCGGAGGGGUCGGCGAAGAUGCCGUCGAACUCGGUGAUGAUGGCGUCCAGGAAGUCGCGGCCGCUGCAUGAUUUUAGGGCUGGCCCGUCCGGUCCUGCAAUGCCGUGCCAGCACACCCGAUGGCCCCGCCGCCAGAAUGUCAUGGAGAGGGCUCGGAAAUCCCACAGGAUCGGUCCGAGCGACGCCAGCCACUGCGUGCCCAGGACGAUGUCGUAGCCCGCGAGCGGCAAGGCGAGGAAAUCCUCCGUAAACUCCUCGUGGCCGAUGCGGAAGGGCACGACGCGGUACGCGCCCUGGCACGGAACGCGCUCGCCGUUGGCCACCGUGACGCGCAUCUUCUCUGUGGUGGGGGGCGGUAACGUAGCACGAGCGGCCGCCUCUUCGGCGAUGAAGUUGUGGGUGGAGCCUGAAUCAAUCAGGGCGAGGAGGGAGACACCUCCGAGAGUAAUCUGCAUCUGCAUGGUUUCACUCGUGCGCACGCCGGCGAUCGCGUGGAGCGAGAUUUGAGGGUCGGCCCGCGAUGCAUCAUCAGUGGCGGAGGCCGCGUCGUCGUCGUCGUCGUCCGGCGCUAAGUCGAGGAGAAAGAUGCGCUGGCACACGCGGUUGUGGCCCCUGCCAAACUUCUCGUUACAGUUGAAGCAAAGGCCCAGGCGACGGCGUUCCUCCAUCUCUGUCUGGGAGAGACGCUUGAUUGGGCGUCCGUCCGGCAGAUUGUGGCCCUGCUGAGGUGCGGCUGGUGGGGCCGAAGCGGGGGGCGCGAGGCGUGGUCCUGGUGUCGGCAGGAUGCCCUUCUGUGGAAAACGCACUGGUGGUGCGGCGGAAAGCGCGCACUGGUCGCGCAGCUCCAAUUUGCGGGCGAGGCUCAUGGCGACGGCGAGGGACUGUGGGUUAUGGAUCUCCACGUCGAGGCUGAGGGGUGGCUGGAGUCCCGCGGUGAAGAUCUGCACUUUCUGUGUCUCGGAUAAGGUGCCUGCCCGGGGAAGGAGUGCCUCAAACCGCUCCUGGAAGUCGACGACGGACGUCGUGCGUUUGCACGCCAUUAGUUCGCCCAGCGGGUUAGCGCGCAGCGGUGGCCCGAAGCGGAGAUUGAGCAGCUCGGAGAAGCGGCGCCACGGAGGUGUGCCCUCGUCGCGCUGGACCUGCAUAUACCAUAGUUGGGCAGGACCCUCGAGAUUGUAGGACGCCAUCCACACCUUCUCCUCCUCGGCGAUCCGUUGUUGAUGGAAGAAGGACUCGCAUCUGUUGAUGAAGGCGAGCGGAUCAGACUUGCCGUCGAACUUGGGGAAGUCCAUCUUCUGGAACCUGGGCGGCCGAUCAUUGUGGUGCUGCCCAUCAUGGGCGGCGUCAGCGCUGGACGAGGAGGAGGACUUGUCCUUCUGGAGUGCGGUGACGGCCGACUGCAGGGACGUCACCGUGGCCGUCAAGGCCUCGAUCAUCUUAGCCAGAUCCGCGGUGGUCGGUUCUGCCAUGCCGGAAGUGACCGAGGCGGCAGCGGAUUGUGGCGAUGUCGGGGAGCUGGGCGCGGACACAGGGGGGAAAGCGGCCGGCGGAUGGAGCGUGGACGAGGAGGAGGAUCGCCUGGAACCUGAUACCAAGUUGUCAAGGGCCUCGGUGCCCAAGACAGCAGGGCCUCGACUACGUAGUUCGUAGUCGCGGUGGAUAGGAGCGCUAGGGUUUUUGCCUGGCUGCUCUAUGAUGCGGGAGGAGAAGAUAGAAGGAAAUAACUUUAUUGCUUGUCCCUAAAGGGUGCUAACUAUCUGAUAUAUAAAGGCCCCAUGGGCUAAUAACAAACUAGAAACCUAUACGAAACAAACUAGUCUAGGAACUAAUGUGCCCGGAUCAGGACUCCUGUCCAGCCUGCGCCUUGCCUGAUGCGGCCGUCGGCUGCUCCUGGCCGCGCGGCCCACGUCUGUAAGACGUGCC
This 5022-nucleotide long non-coding RNA is filed under the name Triticum aestivum (bread wheat). RNAcentral's name for it is "long non-coding RNA (TAES_LNC007774)". Lineage: Eukaryota; Viridiplantae; Streptophyta; Magnoliopsida; Poales; Poaceae. The record is from RNAcentral.